Molecule: ribosomal RNA, 232 nt
Filed under: Cryptosporidium sp. chipmunk genotype II
Lineage: Eukaryota; Apicomplexa; Conoidasida; Eucoccidiorida; Cryptosporidiidae
Description: partial 18S small subunit ribosomal RNA
Rfam family: Eukaryotic small subunit ribosomal RNA
Source: RNAcentral
CCAAUCCUGACACAGGGAGGUAGUGACAAGAAAUAACAAUACAGGGCCUUUCGGCUUUGUAAUUGGAAUGAGUUGAGUCUAAACCCCUUUGCGAGUAUCAAUUGGAGGGCAAGUCUGGUGCCAGCAGCCGCGGUAAUUCCAGCUCCAAUAGCGUAUAUUAAAGUUGUUGCAGUUAAAAAGCUCGUAGUUGGAUUUUUGCUAAAUCUUGUGCAUGUGCUUUUCUUGCUCCUGC